RNAcentral lists this ribosomal RNA (397 nucleotides) under uncultured rumen bacterium. RNAcentral's name for it is "bacterial SSU rRNA". It matches the Rfam family "Bacterial small subunit ribosomal RNA", at positions 975 to 1375 of the family's 1533-position model. The record is from RNAcentral.
CAGGGCUUGACAUCCAACUAACGAAGCAGAGAUGCAUUAGGUGCCCUUCGGGGAAAGUUGAGACAGGUGGUGCAUGGUUGUCGUCAGCUCGUGUCGUGAGAUGUUGGGUUAAGUCCCGCAACGAGCGCAACCCCUAUUGUUAGUUGCUACGCAAGAGCACUCUAGCGAGACUGCCGUUGACAAAACGGAGGAAGGUGGGGACGACGUCAAAUCAUCAUGCCCCUUAUGAUUUGGGCUACACACGUGCUACAAUGGCGUAAACAAAGGGAAGCGACCUGGUGACAGUAAGCAAAUCCCAAAAAUAACGUCUCAGUUCGGAUUGUAGUCUGCAACUCGACUACAUGAAGCUGGAAUCGCUAGUAAUCGCGAAUCAGAAUGUCGCGGUGAAUACGUUCCC